UCGCCUGUUUAUCAAAAACAUGGUUUCUUGAUUAUUUAAGAAAUCUGGCCUGCCCACUGAAAAAUUUUAAAGGGCCGCAGUAUUUUGACUGUGCAAAGGUAGCAUAAUCAUUAGUCUUUUAAUUGAAGGCUGGUAUGAAUGGUUGGAUAAGGUAAAUUCUGUUUUAUAUUAAUUUAAUUGAAUUUAGAUUUUAAGUAAAAAGACUUAAAUUUAAUUAAGGGACGAGAAGACCCUAUAGAGUUUAAUAAAUGAAUUAAUUGAUUAAGUUAAUAAGGAAUUAUUAAUUAUUAUGAAAUUUAUUUAAUUGGGGUGAUUAAAAGAUAAAAGUAACUCUUUUUUAAUUUUAAUAUUAUUAUUAGUUAUAAGAUCCAUUUUUAAUGAUUAUAAGAUUAAAUUACCUUAGGGAUAACAGCAUAAUUUCUUUUAAGAGUUCAUAUUGAAAAAGAAGAUUGUGACCUCGAUGUUGGAUUAAGAUUAAUUUUGGGUGUAGAUGUUUAAAAAUUAGGUCUGUUCGACCUUUAAAAUCUUACAUGAUCUGAGUUCAAACCGGAGA
RNAcentral lists this ribosomal RNA (553 nucleotides) under Hestiasula sp. MN199. RNAcentral describes it as "partial 16S ribosomal RNA". It matches the Rfam family "Bacterial large subunit ribosomal RNA", at positions 1796 to 2622 of the family's 2925-position model. The record is from RNAcentral. Lineage: Eukaryota; Metazoa; Arthropoda; Insecta; Mantodea; Hymenopodidae.